Molecule: ribosomal RNA, 2903 nt
Filed under: human gut metagenome
Description: bacterial LSU rRNA
Rfam family: Bacterial large subunit ribosomal RNA
Source: RNAcentral
UUAAGCGACUAAGCGUACACGGUGGAUGCCCUGGCAGUCAGAGGCGAUGAAGGACGUGCUAAUCUGCGAAAAGCGCCGGCGAGGUGAUAUGAACCUUUGACCCGGCGAUGUCCGAAUGGGGAAACCCAGUGCAAUUCGUUGCACUAUCGUUAACUGAAUACAUAGGUUAACGAGGCGAACCGGGGGAACUGAAACAUCUAAGUACCCCGAGGAAAAGAAAUCAACCGAGAUUCCCCCAGUAGCGGCGAGCGAACGGGGAGCAGCCCAGAGUCUGAAUCAGCUUGUGUGUUAGUGGAAGCGUCUGGAAAGUCGCACGGUACAGGGUGACAGUCCCGUACACGAAAGCACACAGGCUGUGAACUCGAAGAGUAGGGCGGGACACGUGGUAUCCUGUCUGAAUAUGGGGGGACCAUCCUCCAAGGCUAAAUACUCCUGACUGACCGAUAGUGAACCAGUACCGUGAGGGAAAGGCGAAAAGAACCCCGGCGAGGGGAGUGAAAAAGAACCUGAAACCGUGUACGUACAAGCAGUGGGAGCACCUUCGUGGUGUGACUGCGUACCUUUUGUAUAAUGGGUCAGCGACUUAUAUUCUGUAGCAAGGUUAACCGUAUAGGGGAGCCGAAGGGAAACCGAGUCUUAACUGGGCGUUAAGUUGCAGGGUAUAGACCCGAAACCCGGUGAUCUAGCCAUGGGCAGGUUGAAGGUUGGGUAACACUAACUGGAGGACCGAACCGACUAAUGUUGAAAAAUUAGCGGAUGACUUGUGGCUGGGGGUGAAAGGCCAAUCAAACCGGGAGAUAGCUGGUUCUCCCCGAAAGCUAUUUAGGUAGCGCCUCGUGAACUCAUCUUCGGGGGUAGAGCACUGUUUCGGCUAGGGGGCCAUCCCGGCUUACCAACCCGAUGCAAACUACGAAUACCGAAGAAUGUUAUCACGGGAGACACACGGCGGGUGCUAACGUCCGUCGUGAAGAGGGAAACAACCCAGACCGCCAGCUAAGGUCCCAAAGUCAUGGUUAAGUGGGAAACGAUGUGGGAAGGCACAGACAGCCAGGAUGUUGGCUUAGAAGCAGCCAUCAUUUAAAGAAAGCGUAAUAGCUCACUGGUCGAGUCGGCCUGCGCGGAAGAUGUAACGGGGCUAAACCAUGCACCGAAGCUGCGGCAGCGACGCGUAUGCGUUGUUGGGUAGGGGAGCGUUCUGUAAGCCGUUGAAGGUGUGCUGUGAGGCAUGCUGGAGGUAUCAGAAGUGCGAAUGCUGACAUAAGUAACGAUAAAGCGGGUGAAAAGCCCGCUCGCCGGAAGACCAAGGGUUCCUGUCCAACGUUAAUCGGGGCAGGGUGAGUCGACCCCUAAGGCGAGGCCGAAAGGCGUAGUCGAUGGGAAACAGGUUAAUAUUCCUGUACUUGGUGUUACUGCGAAGGGGGGACGGAGAAGGCUAUGUUAGCCGGGCGACGGUUGUCCCGGUUUAAGCAUGUAGGCGGAGGUUCCAGGUAAAUCCGGUACCUUUUAACGCUGAGGUGUGAUGACGAGGCACUACGGUGCUGAAGUAACAAAUGCCCUGCUUCCAGGAAAAGCCUCUAAGCAUCAGGUAACAUCAAAUCGUACCCCAAACCGACACAGGUGGUCAGGUAGAGAAUACCAAGGCGCUUGAGAGAACUCGGGUGAAGGAACUAGGCAAAAUGGUGCCGUAACUUCGGGAGAAGGCACGCUGAUAUGUAGGUGAAGCCCCUGCGGGUGGAGCUGAAAUCAGUCGAAGAUACCAGCUGGCUGCAACUGUUUAUUAAAAACACAGCACUGUGCAAACACGAAAGUGGACGUAUACGGUGUGACGCCUGCCCGGUGCCGGAAGGUUAAUUGAUGGGGUUAGCGGCAACGCGAAGCUCUUGAUCGAAGCCCCGGUAAACGGCGGCCGUAACUAUAACGGUCCUAAGGUAGCGAAAUUCCUUGUCGGGUAAGUUCCGACCUGCACGAAUGGCGUAAUGAUGGCCAGGCUGUCUCCACCCGAGACUCAGUGAAAUUGAACUCGCUGUGAAGAUGCAGUGUACCCGCGGCAAGACGGAAAGACCCCGUGAACCUUUACUAUAGCUUGACACUGAACACUGGUCCUUGAUGUGUAGGAUAGGUGGGAGGCUUUGAAGCGUGGACGCCAGUCUGCGUGGAGCCGUCCUUGAAAUACCACCCUUUAAUGGCUGGUGUUCUAACGUAGACCCGUAAUCCGGGUUGCGGACAGUGUCUGGUGGGUAGUUUGACUGGGGCGGUCUCCUCCCAAAGAGUAACGGAGGAGCACGAAGGUUAGCUAAUCCUGGUCGGACAUCAGGAGGUUAGUGCAAUGGCAUAAGCUAGCUUGACUGCGAGAGUGACGGCUCGAGCAGGUGCGAAAGCAGGUCAUAGUGAUCCGGUGGUUCUGAAUGGAAGGGCCAUCGCUCAACGGAUAAAAGGUACUCCGGGGAUAACAGGCUGAUACCGCCCAAGAGUUCAUAUCGACGGCGGGGUUUGGCACCUCGAUGUCGGCUCAUCACAUCCUGGGGCUGAAGUAGGUCCCAAGGGUAUGGCUGUUCGCCAUUUAAAGUGGUACGCGAGCUGGGUUUAGAACGUCGUGAGACAGUUCGGUCCCUAUCUGCCGUGGGCGCUGGAGAAUUGAGGGGGGCUGCUCCUAGUACGAGAGGACCGGAGUGGACGCAUCACUGGUGUUCGGGUUGUCAUGCCAAUGGCACUGCCCGGUAGCUAAAUGCGGAAAAGAUAAGUGCUGAAAGCAUCUAAGCACGAAACUUGCCCCGAGAUGAGUUCUCCCUGACCCUUUAAGGGUCCUGAAGGAACGUUGAAGACGACGACGUUGAUAGGUCGGGUGUGUAAGCGCAGCGAUGCGUUGAGCUAACCGAUACUAAUGAACCGUGAGGCUUAACCUU